This 692-nucleotide long non-coding RNA is filed under the name Setaria viridis. RNAcentral's name for it is "long non-coding RNA (SVIR_LNC006340)". The record is from RNAcentral. Lineage: Eukaryota; Viridiplantae; Streptophyta; Magnoliopsida; Poales; Poaceae.
UGCUAUUCAACCAUGAGCAUGGUAGAUGAGUGGAGUAUUGUUAGGCGCAAGGUGGAUGAAGAAGAGAAACAAAGUCUGGGACAAUAAGGCAAAUAAACUGUUCAUAUGUUCAUCCUAUAAUUUCAUAUACUAGCUUGUUAUUAACUAGGAAUGUUAAACAAGUUCCCUCUGUUCAGUCUCGUGUUGGUAUUGCGGAGCUGAUUAUGGUUUCAUUGAUGCCAAUAGAUUUAUGUUGAUAGGCAAAUGGUGUACUUGGAUUAACCAUGCGCAACAGAUUUCAUUGUAAUUGCCUACAACUUGAUUGUACCCCUGGCAUCAACUAUUAAACCUGAGCUCAUGCUCGUCGCCGAAAAAGAAGAAAACCACUCUAACUAGUAAGAAAACUAGACACUGAAGUUGCUAGUCAGAUGCCCUCGUCUCCAUGCCAACGGAUUCCAUUUAAAACGAGCAGACCAAAUGAAGUAGCGACAGGUAACGAAAAGAAUUUUCCACUCUAAAGAGAGUCAAAUGAAGAAAGAACCUGUAGUUAUGCAAACGUACCCUUGGUUGGUUGGUGAAACUUAACAUUUGCUUUUUUUAGUCAGGAUGAGUGUUCCUAUAUAUACCCUUUCUUCCACAGACCACAGUCCACAAAACAUUAUAAAGAUCACCACUUCCUAUUGCUGUAUCCCCUUUUCCUUAUGCAAGUCUUG